AUUGAACGCUGGCGGAAUGCUUUACACAUGCAAGUCGAGCGGCAGCACGGGGGCAACCCUGGUGGCGAGCGGCGAACGGGUGAGUAAUACAUCGGAACAUGCCCAGUCGUGGGGGAUAACACUUCGAAAGAAGUGCUAAUACCGCAUACGUCCUGAGGGGGAAAGCGGGGGAUCGCAAGACCUCGCGCGAUUGGAGUGGCCGAUGUCAGAUUAGCUAGUUGGUGGGGUAAAGGCCUACCAAGGCAUCGAUCUGUAGCUGGUCUGAGAGGAUGAUCAGCCACACUGGGACUGAGACACGGCCCAGACUCCUACGGGAGGCAGCAGUGGGGAAUUUUGGACAAUGGGGGCAACCCUGAUCCAGCCAUUCCGCGUGAGUGAAGAAGGCCUUCGGGUUGUAAAGCUCUUUCGGCAGGAACGAAACGGUGAGCUCUAACAUAGCUUGCUAAUGACGGUACCCGAAGAAGAAGCACCGGCUAACUACGUG
RNAcentral lists this ribosomal RNA (484 nucleotides) under uncultured bacterium. RNAcentral describes it as "partial 16S ribosomal RNA". It matches the Rfam family "Bacterial small subunit ribosomal RNA", at positions 30 to 507 of the family's 1533-position model. The record is from RNAcentral.